CACCGCGGUUAUACGAGAGGCCCAAGUUGAUAGCCUACGGCGUAAAGAGUGGUUAAGAAUUCCAACCGAUUAAAGCCGAAUGCCCUCAAAGCUGUUAUACGCUUCCGAAGGUAAGAAGAACUACCACGAAAGUGGCUUUAUAAUAUCUGAACCCACGAAAGCUAGGGAA
This 169-nucleotide ribosomal RNA is filed under the name Fistularia petimba (red cornetfish). RNAcentral's name for it is "partial 12S ribosomal RNA". Lineage: Eukaryota; Metazoa; Chordata; Actinopteri; Syngnathiformes; Fistulariidae. The record is from RNAcentral.